Molecule: ribosomal RNA, 501 nt
Filed under: uncultured bacterium
Lineage: Bacteria
Description: bacterial SSU rRNA
Rfam family: Bacterial small subunit ribosomal RNA
Source: RNAcentral
AUUGAACGCUGGCGGCAUGCCUUACACAUGCAAGUCGAACGGUAACGGGCCUUCGGGUGCCGACGAGUGGCGAACGGGUGAGUAAUGUAUCGGAACGUACCUUUCAGUGGGGGAUAACGUAGCGAAAGUUACGCUAAUACCGCAUAUUCUGUGAGCAGGAAAGCAGGGGAUCGCAAGACCUUGCGCUGAUUGAGCGGCCGAUAUCAGAUUAGCUAGUUGGUGAGGUAAAGGCUCACCAAGGCGACGAUCUGUAGCGGGUCUGAGAGGAUGAUCCGCCACACUGGAACUGAGACACGGUCCAGACUCCUACGGGAGGCAGCAGUGGGGAAUUUUGGACAAUGGGGGCAACCCUGAUCCAGCCAUGCCGCGUGAGUGAAGAAGGCCUUCGGUUGUAAAGCACUUUGUUGGGGAAGAAACGGUCGGAUUAAUACUUCGGCUGAAUGACGGUACCCAAAGAAUAAGCACCGGCUAACUUCGUGCCAGCAGCCGCGGUAAGACGUA